UGGUCGGCGCAGGCCCCAGGCCCAGCCCCCCGCCAAUGGCCUGCUGCGCCGGCGCCGGGUUCUCCAGGUCCAGCCUUCCCUCUCCAACACAGGGCUGUGCGCAUGCGCCUGGAAAGGGAGAUAUGGAGAACUGUUUGGCGGCCGCGGCGCUGAACGGGGUGGACCGACGUGCCCUGCAGCGCACGGCUAGGCUGGGUCAAGAAGUGCUGGAGCGGGCCAAGAGGAGGGCGGUGGACUGGCAUUCGCGGGAGCUCCCCCAAAGCAGCGCGGGGGUCACUUCCCGGGAACAGCCUGACCGAGAAAGACGGCCAGCAGCCGGCCCCGAGCGCCUUCUCCCGGGAGAGAGAGAAGAAAGACAACCAACCCUCAGUGCUUCCUUCAGAACAAUGGCAGAAUUCAUGGACUAUACUUCAAGUCAGUGUGGGAAAUAUUAUUCAUCUGUACUGGAGGAUGGAGGGGCAGCCCACGUCUCUCGUUAUCACAGAAGGAAGUCGGAACUGCAUUUGUGCUGUGACGGGAGGAAUGGUCAGAGAAAAGACACCUCUCUUGGUCUUGGAGUCAUCUCUCACGCAUCAGAGUGUGCUCUAGAGGCCUCUCAGCAGCCUGCUGAAAACAUCUCUAAGGACCUCUACAUAGAAGUAUAUCCAGGGACCUAUUCCGUCACUGUGGGUGCAAAUGAUUUAACCAAGACUCACGUGGUAGCAGUGGACUCAGGACAAAGUGUGGACUUGGUCUUCGCCGUAUGAUGUUGACCAUCACGGCCAUCGCAUCACCUUUUCUUAAGUAGCAAGAAGAAUAAAGUCACCAUAUGAUUCUCUUAAUAUUUACACAUUACUCCUGCUUUUACUGCUGACUGUAGAGGGUCAGUCUUCCUGGGAACUGGAGUUUGUCUCUUUCAGUGCCUAUUUUAACUUAAAAUUCUGGAAGUGCCCGCCCCCUCCCCCCCCCCCUUGGCUGAAAAUAAUAAUGUAAUGAUGCUAUCUGAAUGGUUUUUAACUGCUUACUUUCCAGGUAAAGGCUAAUUAUAAUAAAGGGAGAUGAUUUGGAAAUGAAGAGAAUUCCUUUUUAUUGGUAUUAAGAGGUGAAACAGUGUCGCUCACGCACAGCUGAAGGCUUAUGAAACGAUGGCAGAGAGGCUGUGGACACAUUUGCCCAAAGCAGGCCAAUCACCCCCUGCAGCUUCUGUGGAGGAGGCAUCCUCGAGCAAUCUCCCCAGGCCCCCGUCAGGGAGCCCUGGCCGUGGCCACCAGACUCCUGUGCCCCUUGUGGCAGGUGCCUUCCUGCCACUCAUCUGCCGGGAAGUCUUAACGGGUGAAGAUGCUGCUGCUUAUUCGACUGUCACCUGAGGCCUGCACUCUGCCUCCGUCCAUUGAAGAAGGACUUAACCACUUUGUAAUGCCUCCUCAGAUGAUGCCACGUCUUGUUCCUAAACCCCAAAUUUAAUUACUUAUGUUGUGUGUGCCACCAUGGGAUGAGUCUUGAUGACUGAAAUAGAACCACAUCACGGAUCCCAGAAUCUCUGAACUAUCUGUAAGUGUCGGGCACUGCUGUUUGUAAAGAGAAAUAAAGUCUGGUAGUUAUUUCUGGCCA
Molecule: RNA transcript, 1590 nt
Organism: Herpailurus yagouaroundi (jaguarundi)
Lineage: Eukaryota; Metazoa; Chordata; Mammalia; Carnivora; Felidae
Gene: AKIP1
Gene name: A-kinase interacting protein 1
Exons: 7
Source: RefSeq, a predicted model, not a curated record